GAUGAACGCUGGCGGCGUGCCUAAUACAUGCCAGUCGAGCGAACAGACGAGGAGCUUGCUCCUCUGACGUUAGCGGCGGACGGGUGAGUAACACGUGGAUAACCUACCUAUAAGACUGGGAUAACUUCGGGAAACCGGAGCUAAUACCGGAUAAUAUAUUGAACCGCAUGGUUCAAUAGUGAAAGACGGUUUUGCUGUCACUUAUAGAUGGAUCCGCGCCGCAUUAGCUAGUUGGUAAGGUAACGGCUUACCAAGGCAACGAUGCGUAGCCGACCUGAGAGGGUGAUGGCCCACACUGGCACGGAAACACGGUCAAGCCUCCAAGGAGGGGCACCAGUAGGCAUUCUUCCAGAAGGGGUGAAAGCCGUACGGAGCAGCGCCGCGUGAGUAAUAAGUGUCUUCGGAUAAUAAAACUGUUUUUUGAGGGAAAAAAAAAUGUAUAAUUAACUAGCCUCUUCUUGACGAUCCCUACUAGGAAGACCCCGGCUAACUACAUG
RNAcentral lists this ribosomal RNA (497 nucleotides) under uncultured bacterium. RNAcentral's name for it is "partial 16S ribosomal RNA". It matches the Rfam family "Bacterial small subunit ribosomal RNA", at positions 28 to 507 of the family's 1533-position model. The record is from RNAcentral.